AUGAAGACUGCUUCCAGCACGUGGUUGAAAGGGAGGUUGGCAGGGAGGGUUAAGGCAGAAAAUGAGAACAGCAGAGAGUGAAGACAGAAAUUACUGCGGGAACUCCAGCCCUCUUCUCCCACAGCGGGAGGAAGGAGAGUCAGGGUCUGGAGGGCUCUGCAUGUCCAGUAAGCAAUCGAGUCUGCUGUCCUAAAACUAGAGGAACUCGUUGGAGAAAAGGAAUUAUUUGAACCGAUUGUGAGAAAUUGAACAGCGGCAGGAGGAGAAGGAGAGAAGAAAGGAGCGGACACAUCCAACCAGGCAGCUGGGACACUGUGCAUACAGAUGGAGGUGGCGGCUGGGUCCCUGUUGCGGCUCAUUACUGAGAAGCACAUCAGAGGCUACUGGGUGAGGGUCAGGGAGAACCUGGCUGCCGCGCUGAGCUUUGAACAGGGCUGUUCUGCAGAAGGAACCCCACCCUCGUGCCACCUAAGUGCUGUGGCUGCGGAACCAAUUCCGUUUUCAGAAAUGCAGAUUGCCUUUGGCACAGUCA
Molecule: long non-coding RNA, 532 nt
Organism: Neogale vison (American mink)
Lineage: Eukaryota; Metazoa; Chordata; Mammalia; Carnivora; Mustelidae
Exons: 2
Source: RefSeq, a predicted model, not a curated record